Long non-coding RNA from Saccostrea cuccullata (small rock oyster), 283 nucleotides. RefSeq lists it as uncharacterized. Lineage: Eukaryota; Metazoa; Mollusca; Bivalvia; Ostreida; Ostreidae. The record is from RefSeq and is a predicted model, not a curated record. The transcript has 3 exons.
UGACGCAUUGUAUCCUACUUCAGUCGGUCUUGGAGCAGGUGUUGGAUCUUCUGUUGUUAUUCUUGUUUUUGGUAUUGUCUUCGCUAUUGUAAUAUAUAACAGGAGAAAAAGACUUGCUUACAAAAAGCAGAAAAUACAUUCAAAGGAAAACGAUAACAACAAAACUGUUGUAUUUAGAAGAGAGGAUAAUCAGAAGGACCUGCCACCAAAUAUAUUGAGCGAAAAGAACACUUCAAAGAACACUGUAGAUGUUUAUGUAAAUGAAAUAAAUAGGGGUUUUGAG